GAGGGUAUAGCUCAGUGGGAGAGCGCGUGCUUAGCAUGCACAAGCUCUUGGUUCAAUCCCCAGUCCUCC
This 69-nucleotide transfer RNA is filed under the name Camelus bactrianus (Bactrian camel). It matches the Rfam family "tRNA". Rfam says of the family: Transfer RNA (tRNA) molecules are approximately 80 nucleotides in length. Their secondary structure includes four short double-helical elements and three loops (D, anti-codon, and T loops). Further hydrogen bonds mediate the characteristic L-shaped molecular structure. tRNAs have two regions of fundamental functional importance: the anti-codon, which is responsible for specific mRNA codon recognition, and the 3' end, to which the tRNAs corresponding amino acid is attached (by aminoacyl-tRNA synthetases). tRNAs cope with the degeneracy of the genetic code in two manners: having more than one tRNA (with a specific anti-codon) for a particular amino acid; and 'wobble' base-pairing, i.e. permitting non-standard base-pairing at the 3rd anti-codon position. Lineage: Eukaryota; Metazoa; Chordata; Mammalia; Artiodactyla; Camelidae. RNAcentral also lists the same sequence under 1 other name. The record is from Rfam by way of RNAcentral.